Molecule: ribosomal RNA, 256 nt
Filed under: uncultured bacterium
Lineage: Bacteria
Description: partial 16S ribosomal RNA
Rfam family: Bacterial small subunit ribosomal RNA
Source: RNAcentral
UACGUAGGGGCCUAGCGUUGUCCGGAUUUAUUGGGCGUAAAGAGCUCGUAGGCGGUUCGGUAAGUCAGGUGUGAAAUCUCCACGCUCAACGUGGAGGCGCCACCUGAAACUGCCGUGACUCGAGUCCGGAAGGGGCGAGUGGAAUUCCUGGUGUAGCGGUGAAAUGACGCAGAUAUCAGGAGGAACACCGGUGGCGAAGGCGGGUCUCUGGGCCGUAACUGACGCUGGAGGAGCGAAAGCAUGGGGAGCGAACAGG